CUAUAAUGCAGUUGAGCGCUGAGGUUGGUACUUGUACCAACUGGAUGAGCAGCGAACGGGUGAGUAACGCGUGGGGAAUCUGCCUUUGAGCGGGGGACAACAUUUGGAAACGAAUGCUAAUACCGCAUAAAAACUUUAAACACAAGUUUUAAGUUUGAAAGAUGCAAUUGCAUCACUCAAAGAUGAUCCCGCGUUGUAUUAGCUAGUUGGUGAGGUAAAGGCUCACCAAGGCGAUGAUACAUAGCCGACCUGAGAGGGUGAUCGGCCACAUUGGGACUGAGACACGGCCCAAACUCCUACGGGAGGCAGCAGUAGGGAAUCUUCGGCAAUGGACGAAAGUCUGACCGAGCAACGCCGCGUGAGUGAAGAAGGUUUUCGGAUCGUAAAACUCUGUUGGUAGAGAAGAACGUUGGUGAGAGUGGAAAGCUCAUCAAGUGACGGUAACUACCCAGAAAGGGACGGCUAACUACGUGCCAGCAGCCGCGGUAAUACGUAGGUCCCGAGCGUUGUCCGGAUUUAUUGGGCGUAAAGCGAGCGCAGGUGGUUUAUUAAGUCUGGUGUAAAAGGCAGUGGCUCAACCAUUGUAUGCAUUGGAAACUGGUAGACUUGAGUGCAGGAGAGGAGAGUGGAAUUCCAUGUGUAGCGGUGAAAUGCGU
This 656-nucleotide ribosomal RNA is filed under the name Lactococcus lactis. RNAcentral's name for it is "bacterial SSU rRNA". It matches the Rfam family "Bacterial small subunit ribosomal RNA", at positions 51 to 691 of the family's 1533-position model. Lineage: Bacteria; Bacillati; Bacillota; Bacilli; Lactobacillales; Streptococcaceae. The record is from RNAcentral.